Molecule: ribosomal RNA, 440 nt
Filed under: uncultured bacterium
Lineage: Bacteria
Description: partial 16S ribosomal RNA
Rfam family: Bacterial small subunit ribosomal RNA
Source: RNAcentral
CCUACGGGGUGCAGCAGUGGGGAAUAUUGCACAAUGGGGGAAACCCUGAUGCAGCGACGCCGCGUGAGUGAAGAAGUAUCUCGGUAUGUAAAGCUCUAUCAGCAGGGAAGAAAAUGACGGUACCUGAAUAAGAAGCCCCGGCUAACUACGUGCCAGCAGCCGCGGUAAUACGUAGGGGGCAAGCGUUAUCCGGUUUUACUGGGUGGAAAGGGAGCGUAGACGGCGCUGCAAGUCCGGAGGGAAAGCCCAGGGCUUAACCAUGGUACUGCUCUGGAAACUGUGGAGCUUGAGUGCGGGAGGGGCAGGCGGAAUUCCUAGUGUAGCGGUGAAAUGCGUAGAUAUUAGGAGGAACACCGGCGGCGAAGGCGGCCUGCUGGACCGUAACUGACGUUGAGGCUCGAAAGCGUGGGGAGCAAACAGGAUUAGAUACCCCAGUAGUC